This 1959-nucleotide ribosomal RNA is filed under the name human gut metagenome. RNAcentral describes it as "bacterial LSU rRNA". It matches the Rfam family "Bacterial large subunit ribosomal RNA", at positions 1 to 1983 of the family's 2925-position model. The record is from RNAcentral.
GAAAGUAAGCAAGGGCAGACGGUGGAUGCCUUGGCUCUCGGAGGCGAUGAAGGACGUGAUAAGCUGCGAUAAGCUUGGGGUAGGUGCAAAUAACCUUUGAUCCCAAGAUUUCCGAAUGGGGCAACCCGGCUGGUAGAAGGCCAGUCAUUCCGUAAGGAAAGCGAACGUGGGGAACUGAAACAUCUAAGUACCCAUAGGAGAAGAAAACAAAAGUGAUUCCGCAAGUAGUGGCGAGCGAACGCGGAACAGCCCAAACCGAUGUUGUUUAGGCAAUAUCGGGGUUGUAGGACCACGCCAUGGCAAGCGAUUAAGGAAGUAGAACGUUUUGGAAAAAACGGCCGUAGACGGUGAAAGCCCAGUAUACGACUCUUUAAUGAAGCCUAGUGGUAUCCUGAGUAGCGCGGAGCACGAGAAAUUCUGUGUGAACCAGCGGGGCCCAUCCCGUAAGGCUAAAUACUCCCGAGAGACCGAUAGCGAACCAGUACUGUGAAGGAAAGGUGAAAAGCACCUCGAACAGAGGAGUGAAAUAGUCCCUGAAACCGUCUGCCUACAAGCGGUCGGAGCAAUCUUUUGAUUGUGACGGCGUGCCUUUUGCAUAAUGAACCUACGAGUUACUUUCUCCGGCAAGGUUAAGGACUUCAGGUCCGGAGCCGAAGCGAAAGCGAGUCUUAAAAGGGCGGUAUAGUCGGAGUGAGUAGACGCGAAACCAAGUGAUCUACCCUUGGUCAGGAUGAAGGUUGGGUAACACCAACUGGAGGUCCGAAUGGGUAUACGUUGAAAAGUGUUCCAAUGAACUGAGGGUAGGGGUGAAAGGCUAAUCAAACUUGGAGAUAGCUCGUACUCCCCGAAAUGCAUUUAGGUGCAGCCUUUAUAUAGUAUAUAAUGAGGUAGAGCGACUGAUUGGAUGCGAGGGCUUCACCGCCUAUCAAGUCCAGAUAAACUCCGAAUGCGUUAUAUAUAUUUAUAAGGAGUGAGGGCGCGGGUGCUAAGGUCCGCGUCCGAGAGGAGAAGAAUCCAGACCAUCAGCUAAGGUCCCCAAAUAACAGUUAAGUUGAACUAACGAAGUCAGACUGCAGAGACAGCUAGGAUGUUGGCUUGGAAGCAGCCAUUCAUUUAAAGAGUGCGUAACAGCUCACUAGUCGAGGAGUCUGGCGUGGAUAAUACUCGGGCAUAAACUGUUUACCGAAGCUAUGGAUCUCGUAUGAGAUGGUAGGGGAGCAUUCCAUGUACGUCGAAGGUGAGGGAUGACCCUUGCUGGAGUGCAUGGAAACGCAAAUGUAGGUAUAAGUAACGAUAAAGGAGGUGAGAAACCUCCUCGCCGAAAGACUAAGGUUUCCUGAUCAACGUUAAUCGGAUCAGGGUAAGUCGGGACCUAAGGAUAAGCCGAACGGCGAUUCCGAUGGAAGAAUGGUUUAAUAUUCCCAUACUACUUUAUGGAGCGAUGUGGAGACGGAGAAGUGACAGUCCUGCCAUCUGACGGAAUAGAUGGUUAAAGGGUGUAGAUGUAGAUCGAAGUAGGCAAAUCCGCUUUGAGAGUCGAACCUGACAGUAUGUCGCGUACUUGUACAAGGCAAUAUGGACGUAAUCAGGCUCCCUAGAAAAUCCGCUAAGCAAAUUCAUAAAGUACCCGUACCGUAAACGGACACACGUAGUUGGGUUGAAAAUACUGAGGCGCUCGAGUGAUUCACGGUUAAGGAACUAGGCAAAUUGACCCUGUAACUUCGGGAUAAAGGGUCCCUGCAGAGAUGUGGGGCGCAGAGAAUAGGUCCAGGCAACUGUUUAACAAAAACACAUGGCUGUGCGAAAUAGAAAUAUGAAGUAUACAGCCUGACACCUGCCCGGUGCUGGAAGGUUAAGAGGAGAACUCAUCGCAAGAGAAGGUUUGAAUUGAAGCCCCAGUAAACGGCGGCCGUAACUAUAACGGUCCUAAGGUAGCGAAAUUCCUUGUCGGGUAAGUUC